Molecule: ribosomal RNA, 264 nt
Filed under: uncultured bacterium
Lineage: Bacteria
Description: partial 16S ribosomal RNA
Rfam family: Bacterial small subunit ribosomal RNA
Source: RNAcentral
GUCCACGCCGUAAACGAUGAGUGCUAGGUGUCAGAGGCUUUGACCCUUCUGGUGCCGAAGCUAACGCGUUAAGCACUCCGCCUGGGGAGUACGGCCGCAAGGCUAAAACUCAAAGGAAUUGACGGGGCCGCACAAGCGGUGGAGCAUGUGGUUUAAUUCGACGCAACGCGCAGAACCUUACCUGGGCUAGAAAGUGUAGGAAGUCGGCUGAAAGGCUGAUGUGCCCUUCGGGAAGUCUACAGUUAGGUGCUGCAUGGCUGUCGU